Molecule: ribosomal RNA, 2905 nt
Filed under: Escherichia coli
Lineage: Bacteria; Pseudomonadati; Pseudomonadota; Gammaproteobacteria; Enterobacterales; Enterobacteriaceae
Description: 23S ribosomal RNA
Rfam family: Bacterial large subunit ribosomal RNA
Source: RNAcentral
GGUUAAGCGACUAAGCGUACACGGUGGAUGCCCUGGCAGUCAGAGGCGAUGAAGGACGUGCUAAUCUGCGAUAAGCGUCGGUGAGGUGAUAUGAACCGUUAUAACCGGCGAUUUCCGAAUGGGGAAACCCAGUGUGUUUCGACACACUAUCAUUAACUGAAUCCAUAGGUUAAUGAGGCGAACCGGGGGAACUGAAACAUCUAAGUACCCCGAGGAAAAGAAAUCAACCGAGAUUCCCCCAGUAGCGGCGAGCGAACGGGGAGGAGCCCAGAGCCUGAAUCAGUGUGUGUGUUAGUGGAAGCGUCUGGAAAGGCGCGCGAUACAGGGUGACAGCCCCGUACACAAAAAUGCACAUAUUGUGAGCUCGAUGAGUAGGGCGGGACACGUGGUAUCCUGUCUGAAUAUGGGGGGACCAUCCUCCAAGGCUAAAUACUCCUGACUGACCGAUAGUGAACCAGUACCGUGAGGGAAAGGCGAAAAGAACCCCGGCGAGGGGAGUGAAAAAGAACCUGAAACCGUGUACGUACAAGCAGUGGGAGCCUCUUAAUGGGGUGACUGCGUACCUUUUGUAUAAUGGGUCAGCGACUUAUAUUCUGUAGCAAGGUUAACCGAAUAGGGGAGCCGAAGGGAAACCGAGUCUUAACUGGGCGUUAAGUUGCAGGGUAUAGACCCGAAACCCGGUGAUCUAGCCAUGGGCAGGUUGAAGGUUGGGUAACACUAACUGGAGGACCGAACCGACUAAUGUUGAAAAAUUAGCGGAUGACUUGUGGCUGGGGGUGAAAGGCCAAUCAAACCGGGAGAUAGCUGGUUCUCCCCGAAAGCUAUUUAGGUAGCGCCUCGUGAAUUCAUCUCCGGGGGUAGAGCACUGUUUCGGCAAGGGGGUCAUCCCGACUUACCAACCCGAUGCAAACUGCGAAUACCGGAGAAUGUUAUCACGGGAGACACACGGCGGGUGCUAACGUCCGUCGUGAAGAGGGAAACAACCCAGACCGCCAGCUAAGGUCCCAAAGUCAUGGUUAAGUGGGAAACGAUGUGGGAAGGCCCAGACAGCCAGGAUGUUGGCUUAGAAGCAGCCAUCAUUUAAAGAAAGCGUAAUAGCUCACUGGUCGAGUCGGCCUGCGCGGAAGAUGUAACGGGGCUAAACCAUGCACCGAAGCUGCGGCAGCGACGCUUAUGCGUUGUUGGGUAGGGGAGCGUUCUGUAAGCCUGUGAAGGUGGCCUGUGAGGGUUGCUGGAGGUAUCAGAAGUGCGAAUGCUGACAUAAGUAACGAUAAAGCGGGUGAAAAGCCCGCUCGCCGGAAGACCAAGGGUUCCUGUCCAACGUUAAUCGGGGCAGGGUGAGUCGACCCCUAAGGCGAGGCCGAAAGGCGUAGUCGAUGGGAAACAGGUUAAUAUUCCUGUACUUGGUGUUACUGCGAAGGGGGGACGGAGAAGGCUAUGUUGGCCGGGCGACGGUUGUCCCGGUUUAAGCGUGUAGGCUGGUUUUCCAGGCAAAUCCGGAAAACCAAGGCUGAGGCGUGAUGACGAGGCACUACGGUGCUGAAGUGACAAAUGCCCUGCUUCCAGGAAAAGCCUCUAAGCAUCAGGUAACAUCAAAUCGUACCCCAAACCGACACAGGUGGUCAGGUAGAGAAUACCAAGGCGCUUGAGAGAACUCGGGUGAAGGAACUAGGCAAAAUGGUGCCGUAACUUCGGGAGAAGGCACGCUGAUAUGUAGGUGAAGCGACUUGCUCGUGGAGCUGAAAUCAGUCGAAGAUACCAGCUGGCUGCAACUGUUUAUUAAAAACACAGCACUGUGCAAACACGAAAGUGGACGUAUACGGUGUGACGCCUGCCCGGUGCCGGAAGGUUAAUUGAUGGGGUUAGCGGUAACGCGAAGCUCUUGAUCGAAGCCCCGGUAAACGGCGGCCGUAACUAUAACGGUCCUAAGGUAGCGAAAUUCCUUGUCGGGUAAGUUCCGACCUGCACGAAUGGCGUAAUGAUGGCCAGGCUGUCUCCACCCGAGACUCAGUGAAAUUGAACUCGCUGUGAAGAUGCAGUGUACCCGCGGCAAGACGGAAAGACCCCGUGAACCUUUACUAUAGCUUGACACUGAACAUUGAGCCUUGAUGUGUAGGAUAGGUGGGAGGCUUUGAAGUGUGGACGCCAGUCUGCAUGGAGCCGACCUUGAAAUACCACCCUUUAAUGUUUGAUGUUCUAACGUUGGCCCGUAAUCCGGGUUGCGGACAGUGUCUGGUGGGUAGUUUGACUGGGGCGGUCUCCUCCUAAAGAGUAACGGAGGAGCACGAAGGUUGGCUAAUCCUGGUCGGACAUCAGGAGGUUAGUGCAAUGGCAUAAGCCAGCUUGACUGCGAGCGUGACGGCGCGAGCAGGUGCGAAAGCAGGUCAUAGUGAUCCGGUGGUUCUGAAUGGAAGGGCCAUCGCUCAACGGAUAAAAGGUACUCCGGGGAUAACAGGCUGAUACCGCCCAAGAGUUCAUAUCGACGGCGGUGUUUGGCACCUCGAUGUCGGCUCAUCACAUCCUGGGGCUGAAGUAGGUCCCAAGGGUAUGGCUGUUCGCCAUUUAAAGUGGUACGCGAGCUGGGUUUAGAACGUCGUGAGACAGUUCGGUCCCUAUCUGCCGUGGGCGCUGGAGAACUGAGGGGGGCUGCUCCUAGUACGAGAGGACCGGAGUGGACGCAUCACUGGUGUUCGGGUUGUCAUGCCAAUGGCACUGCCCGGUAGCUAAAUGCGGAAGAGAUAAGUGCUGAAAGCAUCUAAGCACGAAACUUGCCCCGAGAUGAGUUCUCCCUGAGACUUUAAGUCUCCUGAAGGAACGUUGAAGACGACGACGUUGAUAGGCCGGGUGUGUAAGCGCAGCGAUGCGUUGAGCUAACCGGUACUAAUGAACCGUGAGGCUUAACCUU